AAUGGGGCAGCUUCCACACUGCCCAGGAGCCAGGGCUUCUGACCCAGGAGCGAAAGUCUGUCUCUUCCAUUUCUGGGAGCUGGCAGUAUUUGCACGACUUUCUGGGCCUCAGGCAUCCCAUUGCCCACCAGGAAUUACCUUCCUCCAGGAUCAUGGUGAAGAUGACAUGAGAUGCUAAUGCUUGGCCUGCGGUUGCUAUUUUUAGUUCUCCACUUUCCUGGAAAGCAUGCAGUUGAAGUUCAUGACGGUAUUCUCUCAACGUGUGACUCAAAGACAGAGGCCGUUUCCCAUCCACCGGUUCUCACACUGCCCCAUUCUGCAGCUUCACCAUCCACGCGCUAAGAAGGCAGGCCCCAAAGUCUCAGCACCCAGCCGCUGGGGUCCUCGCUCUUAUGGACAGAAAACUCAAGAAUGAAUAUGUUUCCCCAUCUUGUGCCCUUUUGCCUGGAAACUAUACAGAGCAGGGGUCCCUGCUGGCAUUCCUUCUCUGUACUAGUACGGCUUCGGAAAGUACUGGUUCUCUGAGGAGCGCUCAGUUGCAUCUGGAAGGUGCAGUGUGCACAGCGAUGCCCCUUGACACCAAGGUGUGAGCAUUUGAGCUGUGCUGGAAGGUUCUCCAUGGAAUAGUGCCCACCCUGGAGGGUCCUGUGCCGCGCACUUGAGGAGGCUGUGGUGGUGAGGAGAGACUCUGGAGCAACCCACACUCCCGAUAAGUCAGAUAAGAGUGCCUCCUC
Molecule: long non-coding RNA, 734 nt
Filed under: Homo sapiens (human)
Lineage: Eukaryota; Metazoa; Chordata; Mammalia; Primates; Hominidae
Description: non-protein coding LINC01019:5
Source: RNAcentral